CUGACACAGUCACAUGGGUCGAUAUUGGUGUAGAUAGCCCGGUUCCCCUCAAACCUUCCUCAAGGAAGGUGCAAAAGGGCGAGCGUGUCAAUGUCAG
RNAcentral lists this non-coding RNA (97 nucleotides) under unclassified sequences. The record is from RNAcentral.